Long non-coding RNA from Syngnathus typhle (broad-nosed pipefish), 1024 nucleotides. RefSeq lists it as uncharacterized. The record is from RefSeq and is a predicted model, not a curated record. The transcript has 2 exons. Lineage: Eukaryota; Metazoa; Chordata; Actinopteri; Syngnathiformes; Syngnathidae.
UACAAGUGGAAAGUUUCAUCUUUCCCAUACCACGUGAAGGCAACGUAGGAUCUCGCUGAAUGCCCACGGAAAUGGCAAAUAAAUCGUUAAGCGUUGGCAGCGCGCAAACGGGACGCCACAACCGGACGAGCUCGAGCUGGGCACCUCGCGAAAUGUUGAAACAAGUUGUUCAACAACAACAACAAAACGUGCUGCUGCCAUUAGUUGCGAGCUCAGCGCUAUCACGGACGCUCACGGCCAGGACGAUCGGUCAACACGACCGACUCGAACGGGCUAACGACGAGCCCCUGGGCGCUCGCGUGGGCUCACCUCAACCAAUGUUGCCGCCCAAAAAGAUGUAGUUGAGCAAAUGACGUUUAUUGCAGCUUGGCGACCGCCCUUUGCGUUUGUGGCAUUGGCUUGUUAGUCAAACCUAGCAUAGCCAGCUAACAAUGGCUACCUUCCAGGCUAGCUCGAGUCAAGACAACCAUCAAUCCCAAAAAGCUACACAUGAUGACAUUCCUAUUUCGUUCAUAGGAAUACAUUCACGUUAUGACGUUUGACUUGCUAGCUGGGAGAGAGCGGCGAGAAAUGAUGAAAGGCUACAAAAACCAAGCAGUAUGAUGUCUCCGAUGUCCUGGCGUAUUUCGUGUCCGUUCUCGGCGCCGUUCUCCAGGCCCGACGGAGGCUCGUCGGCGGGGUGGUGUUGCGCUUGCGAUGGAGGCGGGGCUCGGUGGGCCAUCCCGGGGUGGCCGCUCAUGGCGAGGCCCCGGCCGUUGGAGGCCCCGUUGGCCGUCAGAGGCUGCUGCGGCUGCUGCUGCAACAUCUCGUCGAGCGACGCGCAGUGGCGGCGACUACGACUGCUGCUGCUGCUGCUGCUCGACGAUUGAGACUGAACUGAGCGCACCAGCGCCACCACUCCCCCAGCGCACACCAGGCGGCCGCCGGCCGGCAGGCUUAGCGGUCGGGACGCCCCCUCGCGCCAGCUGUGGGGACCUCCACGAGUUGACUGUCUCCAUCGAAAAUAAAGCACCGUCAAUGUCAA